AUUGAACGCUGGCGGCAUGCCUUACACAUGCAAGUCGAACGGUAGAGGGGCAACCCUCGAGAGUGGCGAACGGGUGAGUAAUGCAUCGGAACGUGCCCAGUCGUGGGGGAUAACACUUCGAAAGAAGUGCUAAUACCGCAUACGACCUGAGGGUGAAAGCGGGGGAUCGCAAGACCUCGCGCGAUUGGAGCGGCCGAUGUCAGAUUAGGUAGUUGGUGGGGUAAAGGCCUACCAAGCCGACGAUCUGUAGCUGGUCUGAGAGGACGACCAGCCACACUGGGACUGAGACACGGCCCAGACUCCUACGGGAGGCAGCAGUGGGGAAUUUUGGACAAUGGGCGAAAGCCUGAUCCAGCCAUGCCGCGUGCGGGAAGAAGGCCUUCGGGUUGUAAACCGCUUUUGUCAGGGAAGAAAUCUUCUGGGCUAAUACCUCGGGAGGAUGACGGUACCUGAAGAAUAAGCACCGGCUAACUACGUGCCAGCAGCCGCGGUAAUACGUAGGGUGCAAGCGUUAAUCGGAAUUACUGGGCGUAAAGCGUGCGCAGGCGGUGAUGUAAGACAGAGGUGAAAUCCCCGGGCUCAACCUGGGAACUGCCUUUGUGACUGCAUCGCUGGAGUGCGGCAGAGGGGGAUGGAAUUCCGCGUGUAGCAGUGAAAUGCGUAGAUAUGCGGAGGAACACCGAUGGCGAAGGCAAUCCCCUGGGCCUGCACUGACGCUCAUGCNCGAAAGCGUGGGAAGCUAACAGGNUUANAUACCCUGGUAGUCCNCNNCNUAACCGAUGUCACCUGGUUGUUGGGAGGGUUUCUUCUCAGUAUCGAAGCUANCGCGUGAAGUUGACCGCCUGGGGAGUACGGCCGCAAGGUUGAAACUCNNAGGAAUUGACGGGGANCCGCACAAGCGGUGNAUGAUGUGGUUUAAUUCGAUGCAACGCGAAAAACCUUACCUACCCUUGACAUGNCAGGAAUCCCNCAGAGAUGUGGNAGUGCUCGAAAGAGANCCUGCACACAGGUGCUGCAUGGCCGUCGUCAGCUCGUGU
RNAcentral lists this ribosomal RNA (1037 nucleotides) under Leptothrix sp. L17. Its description in RNAcentral is "bacterial SSU rRNA". It matches the Rfam family "Bacterial small subunit ribosomal RNA", at positions 28 to 1065 of the family's 1533-position model. The record is from RNAcentral. Lineage: Bacteria; Pseudomonadati; Pseudomonadota; Betaproteobacteria; Burkholderiales; Sphaerotilaceae.